UUUACCUUUCCGAUAGCUUAGUAGUGAUACAUGAGCAAGCAAUGAAACGAGACUAUACUUUGUCAUACGUAUAAGACUAUGGGUAUUAUAUAACAUUGACAAGAAUUAUUAUUAUACAUUUUUCACAAUAAUCAAAUAUGAACGAAUUGAAGUUCACACAAACGUCUGAUAACAAAAAAUAGAUGUGCAGAUAAUAAUUACAAUAACGGAACAGUAUAUUAUCGAACGUUUAGCAUGCAAUAACGAGCCAUUUGCAUGUACUCGUAAUUGAAAUUACACGAAACACUUAUGAUUUAAUACAAUUCCUUACUGUCAUCCUGCCUAUGGGUCACAAUAAUUGCAAACAUUAUUCCACAGCCGCAUACCAUCCAGAUUCUGAGCUUCAUUUCAUCUUUUUAUUGCAAAUGCAUUGGAAUCUAACUUACAAGAAUCAAGUUCACUUUAUUCUGCGAAUGACUUGCACCGUCAUAGUAUAACAAUUU
Molecule: long non-coding RNA, 482 nt
Organism: Aphis gossypii (cotton aphid)
Lineage: Eukaryota; Metazoa; Arthropoda; Insecta; Hemiptera; Aphididae
Exons: 3
Source: RefSeq, a predicted model, not a curated record